RNAcentral lists this ribosomal RNA (462 nucleotides) under Triticum aestivum (bread wheat). Its description in RNAcentral is "partial small subunit ribosomal RNA". The record is from RNAcentral. Lineage: Eukaryota; Viridiplantae; Streptophyta; Magnoliopsida; Poales; Poaceae.
AUGUUUCUUUUUGUCGGAAACAAAACAGGCUCGUGCACCUGUUUUCCUUUUCCCCUUCGAUGGGGUCGUUCAGUUGAGGUGAAGCAAGCAAGCACCUCCCCGUGCCUUGCAUACCAAGGAGAGAGCGAGCCAUUGCAGAGGAGAGGGGAUACGAGGGUGGGCGGAGGCCAGGCAUUGCUAACAGAUUUGCGGCGGAGCGGGAAGCCGGCGCCUCACCACUGGCUCCUGUUUGGCGGUGGCAAAGGGAAAGCUGCCGAGGAUGUGUUGCUCUAUGCACGGCUGUCGAAUUUUCUGUGGCUUUCUCCAUUAGAAUGUUUCUCCUCAACGACCAAAUCAACCUGUCUGGUGUUCGCACAUGUCAUUUUGGUUGAGGUUACUGCCAUUCCACCUCUUCCUCGUGAUGGUAUAGGAGUACACACUAAUUCGAUAAAUAAGAGGCGAAGUUGCCAACGCCUGAGAUAG